RNAcentral lists this long non-coding RNA (1146 nucleotides) under Zostera marina. Its description in RNAcentral is "long non-coding RNA (ZMAR_LNC005757)". Lineage: Eukaryota; Viridiplantae; Streptophyta; Magnoliopsida; Alismatales; Zosteraceae. The record is from RNAcentral.
GUGUCGCCUAGGCGAUCGUAUGAAAAAGCUUGUUUCCAACCAUACAAUCUCUUUUCCAACUUGCAGACAAGUAUGGAAUUUCCCUUAGACACCCCAAAAUCUUUGGGUUAAACCAUAUAGACAUCCUCCUCUAGGUUUCCAUGCAAGAAGGUUGUAUGCACAUCCUUCUGUUCAAGGUGAAGACCCUUUGUUGCAACUAUACUUAAUAGAACUCUGAUUCCAGUCAUCUUUACAACAAGUGAGAAAAUUUCAGUGUAAUCAAUGUUGUGUACCUGAUUACCUGUUGAAACCCCUUUACAACCAACCUGGCUUUGAACAUUCUUCCUCCAGAGUCUUCUUUUGAUCCAUAAACCCACAAGUAUGGUAAUUCAGCGAGGCUCCAAGUACUGUUUGCAGUUAAGGAAGCCAUUGCAAGCUCCUACUUGAGUGUAACUUUCAGAUUCAUCUUCAGCUGUUAUAAUGUGUCACCAUCUCUUCCUUAUUGUUGCACAGUAGGCAAGUUGUUUAGAAUCCAUAACAUUAGUCAAACACCUAUAUCAUAACAUUUUACAUUGUAGUAACUAGUAAUUGUUAUUGUAUCGUUUUUCAAUUUUACUACUAAGUAAAUUGUAUUUCUAAGGAGCUUCUUGAAUAAUUUUGGUCAGGCCUAUUAGGUUGGAUUUAUCACCCGAAGAAGAAAUAGUAUGUUCUAUGCAUAUGGAUAUAAUCAGGUAUGUUAUUUGAGACAAUAAUUUUCCAGCAUUUUUCAAUAUAUACUAUCUAAACAACUUUCUGGUUAUUAUUUAUCAGUUUUUUUCCAGUGAGCUCAACAUAGGGUGAGCUCAAAAACGCUCACCCUAUCUGAGCCGUUGGAUGUUGUUGUAGUUAAUCUUAGCCAUCCACGAUUUUGAAACCCACUCCUCUCAGACCCCCAGAAGUCGUUCUAGCUGAUAUAGUAAAGGAUUGCAGAAUAUCUUUUAAAGCUGAUAUCUUUACGAAAGAAUGUGGUUCACAAUUGGAAAGGACUACUAUGCAGGUUUGGGAGACAACCCUCCUGAGACCAAAUUCUUAGUUAGAACACUAGGAAGGAUAAUUACAUAGGAGAAGGUCGAUAUAGUGGAAAUCACAAUAUCAAUUGUAUUUUUAUUUUCCUAUUAAAUUGUAUUU